RNAcentral lists this non-coding RNA (148 nucleotides) under Gorilla gorilla gorilla (western lowland gorilla). The record is from Rfam by way of RNAcentral. Lineage: Eukaryota; Metazoa; Chordata; Mammalia; Primates; Hominidae. RNAcentral also lists the same sequence under 1 other name.
GCUGGGCAUGGUGGCUCAUGCCUGUAGUCCCAGCUACCUGGGAGGCUGAGGCAGGAGGAUCGCUUGAGACUAGGAGUUCAAGGCUGCAGUGAGCCGUGACUGUACCACUGCACUCCAGUCUGGGUGACAGAGUAAGACCCUGUCUCUU